Molecule: ribosomal RNA, 668 nt
Filed under: uncultured Streptococcus sp.
Lineage: Bacteria; Bacillati; Bacillota; Bacilli; Lactobacillales; Streptococcaceae
Description: bacterial SSU rRNA
Rfam family: Bacterial small subunit ribosomal RNA
Source: RNAcentral
CGGGCUGCACCCCUGCUCUAGUCCCUCGUUGAGUACACUAUUGACCUGCGUAACAGGAAAACAACUACGGAGGCUAUCGCCACACAUAAUCUCGCAUGAUAUUAUAAAAAUCCACUGAUAUCGAUUGCCCUGCUUGUUCAGCUAGAGGAGAUGUAACAGCUAACUAGGCGACGACACAUACCGACCUAGAGUGUAUCGCCACUCUUGUCUGACACACGGCCCAGACCCUACGGAGAGACAGCUGUAGGAACUCUCGGCAAUGGACAAAAUUAGACCGAGCAUCCCCGCGAGAGUGAAGAGGUUUUCGGAUCGUAAAUCUCUUUGUAAGAGGAGAACGGGUGAGAGAGUGAAAAGAUCACUCUGUGACGGUAUCUUCCCAGAAAGGCACGGCUAUCUACGCCCAGCAGCCGCGGUAAUACGUAGGUCCCGAGCGGUGUCCGGAUUUAUUGGGCGUAAAGAGAGCGCAGGCGGUUAGAUAAGUCUGAAGUUAAAGGCUGUGGCUUAACCAUAGUACGCUUUGGAAACUGUUUAACUUGAGCGCAGAAGGGGAGAGUGGAAUUCCAUGUGUAGCGGUGAAAUGCGUAGAUAUAUGGAGGAACCCCGGUGGCGAAAGCGGCUCUCUUGUCUGUAACUGACGCUGAGGCUCGAAAGCGUGGGGAGCGCACAGG